UACGAAGGGGGCUAGCGUUGUUCGGAAUCACUGGGCGUAAAGCGCACGUAGGCGGCGCGUUAAGUCAGGGGUGAAAUCCUGGAGCUCAACUCCAGAACUGCCUUUGAUACUGGCGCGCUCGAGUGUGGUAGAGGUGGGUGGAACUCCGAGUGUAGAGGUGAAAUUCGUAGAUAUUCGGAAGAACACCAGUGGCGAAGGCGGCCAACUGGCCCAUUACUGACGCUGAGGUGCGAAAGCGUGGGGAGCAAACAGG
RNAcentral lists this ribosomal RNA (253 nucleotides) under uncultured bacterium. RNAcentral describes it as "partial 16S ribosomal RNA". It matches the Rfam family "Bacterial small subunit ribosomal RNA", at positions 524 to 776 of the family's 1533-position model. The record is from RNAcentral.